GCUCAGAAUUUAUCUAAUACGUAAUGGAAUGUAGAAGGAGAAGCAAAGUUGGUUGAGGUGUGCCGAAACCAACGUACGAGUAGGCCUGUAAAAGAGGGCAAAAAGAGGAUUCAAAGAAAACACACUUUAUGCAAGUUAAAUACAGCGUGGGUACUGAAAGCUUGUAAGGAUCUUUUACUCUGAUUGAGGUAUAUAUGUAACUGCGCUGAGGCUUAUCCGUGGCCCCAUCACUCAGUGAUGUAGACUGGAGUGUAAGAGCUUGAAGCUGUUGAUGCAGUGCUUUGUGACAGA
Molecule: non-coding RNA, 291 nt
Organism: Pelobates cultripes (western spadefoot toad)
Lineage: Eukaryota; Metazoa; Chordata; Amphibia; Anura; Pelobatidae
Source: the annotation of a GenBank genome assembly